Molecule: long non-coding RNA, 241 nt
Filed under: Mytilus galloprovincialis (Mediterranean mussel)
Lineage: Eukaryota; Metazoa; Mollusca; Bivalvia; Mytilida; Mytilidae
Source: RNAcentral
GUCCGGUCCGUAAUGCGCAUGCGUCACUGGUCAUAGAUUUUAUCUAUGAAUUCGAUAUAUAGAAGUCAACGGGAAAUAUAUUUCAUUUGACGAUUUAAACAUUUUCUUAUAAAAAAUCGUUUCACCUUUGUUUGCAUUAUGUUCUUCAAUAUUUUAGCAAACAGGUAAUAUUUUUAUUUAUUUUUUCGGAUUUUUCUUUCUUGAUACCAAUUUAACUUUAGUAACAGUCAUUGUUACAAAU